UAUUUAUUUUAUUAUAUUUAUUUUUUGUUUAUUUAAUUAUUUAAUAAAAAUAAUUUUGUUGAAUUUUGUCUUAGUAUAUUUUGUAGAAUUGAUUUUUUAUAUUAUAGUUUAUUGGUAAUGUAAUUGUUUUAUGAAAUAUUAUUUUAAAUUUUUAAAAGUAGAUUUUAUUUAUUGUACCUUUUGUAUCAGGGUUUAUCAAAAUUUUAGUAUUUACUUUACUUGUCUCGAUUUGGGUUGAUUUAUAAAUAAUUUAUAGUUAAUGUAUCAUAAUUCUUAUUAAAUUAUUUAUAGAAAUGAGAUGUUAACCGUUUCCCAAGAUAUCUAGUUUCUUAAGAAAAAAUUUAAUUUUUUAAAGUUAAUUGUUUUUAUUUAAUUUUUUAAGUAUAAAUAUUAACUUAUUUAUUCUUUAAGGGAUAAGCUUUGAAGUUAAUAACCUAUAAUUUGUUUUAAUAAAAUAUAAUAGUAAGCUUUAAACCAGCUAUCUUUAAGAUUACGUUUUAGUUCAUUAUUUUUAUUUUUGAUUUUAUAACUAUUUUAGGUUUUUUAUUAAGAUUAUAAAUUUAAUUUUUAAAUUUUUGUAAUAAUGAUAGAAUUAGUAUAUUUAUUUGUAGAUAAUUUUUACCUUGUUAAUUUAUUAUAAGGAACUAGGC
RNAcentral lists this ribosomal RNA (650 nucleotides) under Schistocerca piceifrons peruviana. RNAcentral's name for it is "partial 16S ribosomal RNA". The record is from RNAcentral. Lineage: Eukaryota; Metazoa; Arthropoda; Insecta; Orthoptera; Acrididae.